UAUACUACAAGCCAGAUAUGCCUACUACUGCCUGCAAUUACAACACAUAAUAUGCUACUACUUGUUGAUAUGCUUCACAGCUUCGGACUUUGAUUCGCACUUCACCUGUGCAAAGAAUAAGAAUGAAAAUAUAAGAAUAAGAAUAUGUACAGAACAUCAAACAAUAGCCAAUGAGGAAUCCAAUAACUUAUAAGCAAGAAUUGACAGCAAAUGCCAUGUAGAUAAAUAGUGUGACCAACACUAACCAAUAUAUGUUCAUGGAGUGAAAUGUUCUCACUAGCUAGGAUUUUUUUUGGUAUAUAGUAUACUGACAUGUGAAACUCUAACUAAAUUGAUCAUAGAAAUGAAAAGAACUGUAAGAACAAGUUCAUUCAGAAUCUAGGCAUGUCAAAUUUUAAGCACCAAUGGAACAGAUCUAGCAAACCAGACUAUAAUCAUCAUGCAUAAGGAUUUAUGGUUCUAGCAAAACAGUAAGGAGACAGAGAUACACACAUCAAGCAUACCAGCUACUACAUCAGUAGCAAAUAAACAUUGAUGGAUUACCCACCGUGCAUAGACCAAUCAGCAACAACAGGUAGUAGAAGAAGCAGAAGAGGGAGGGCCCUCUCUUGCGAGGAACUCCCUUGAUUGCAAGAACCACAAAACAACUGGUGGAGCAUGGCCGCUGCAAAUUGUGGCAAAUUGUGGUUAAUUCGCCCUGGUAUGUAGUCAGUACUAUCCAACAAUACAUGAAUGAUAUAUAUAGCAAACAGACAGUGUAGGGAGCACUACAUAACUGUAUGAUAUGUAAGCUAAAAAGCACUAUGUAACUAUAUGAACUCUGCGCUAAAAGGUCUUUGGAAGUGUAUGUCAACAGACAAAAUGGUAAUUGGUGUACUCUGCUAUUUUACCUACUAUACACAAAACAGAUUAAAUGUCCAUGGAGAAUUCUAGCAAACGCAAAAAUAAUAUGAUCAGUUGGGAUCAUUUCUGAUUUUGCUUGCUCGCACACCAACCACAAACGUGAUCACAGCCAAGUAUUUAACCAGUUUGCCGCCAAGUUUAAGUUACUACUAAUCGGAAGUGAAUAAUCAAUUAUUAAAGAUAAUGAAGUUAACUGAACAAUUUUUACACAUGUAUAAUGGCGUGAAUGGAGCAAUAGAGCAAUGCCCAAUCCUUACACAUGUAUAAUGGCAUGAAUAUGCAAGUUAGACCUAGAUGUUACUAACAAGUGUUCUUUGCAUAAUUAAUGAAUAAGUAUAGUAUUUAUGACUAGCCAGAAUCAAUCUUUGUGCAUACAUCCUACCAUGUUGUUCCUUGCUAAGUAAGCUCCCAAAAGCAGUAUUAAUAAAAUUGAAACAGAAUAACACAUACAGGACUACAGGAACCACAACAAGAAAUUUUCUGUUGCGAGUAAGCUGCUUGCCGUUGUCCAUUUGCUCCCACCAAGUCAAUCUAUUAU
RNAcentral lists this long non-coding RNA (1441 nucleotides) under Triticum aestivum (bread wheat). Its description in RNAcentral is "long non-coding RNA (TAES_LNC014452)". The record is from RNAcentral. Lineage: Eukaryota; Viridiplantae; Streptophyta; Magnoliopsida; Poales; Poaceae.